AUCAGUUUGAUCCUGGCUAGUUGUCGUAACAAGGUAACCACGUGAUUUUUGUCCCCCCCUUUUUAAUUUCACCCCGGGAACCCCAUGAGAUUGGGGUAACUUCGGGAAACCGGAGCUAAUACCGGAUACGUUCUUUUCUCGCAUGAGAGAAGAUGGAAAGACGGUUUACGCUGUCACUUAUAGAUGGGCCCGCGGCGCAUUAGCUAGUUGGUGAGGUAAUGGCUCACCAAGGCGACGAUGCGUAGCCGACCUGAGAGGGUGAUCGGCCACACUGGGACUGAGACACGGCCCAGACUCCUACGGGAGGCAGCAGUAGGGAAUCUUCCGCAAUGGACGAAAGUCUGACGGAGCAACGCCGCGUGAACGAAGAAGGCCUUCGGGUCGUAAAGUUCUGUUGUUAGGGAAGAACAAGUACCAGAGUAACUGCUGGUACCUUGACGGUACCUAACCAGAAAGCCACGGCUAACUACGUGCCAGCAGCCGCGGUAAUACGUAGGUGGCAAGCGUUGUCCGGAAUUAUUGGGCGUAAAGCGCGCGCAGGUGGUUCCUUAAGUCUGAUGUGAAAGCCCACGGCUCAACCGUGGAGGGUCAUUGGAAACUGGGGAACUUGAGUGCAGAAGAGGAAAGUGGAAUUCCAAGUGUAGCGGUGAAAUGCGUAGAGAUUUGGAGGAACACCAGUGGCGAAGGCGACUUUCUGGUCUGUAACUGACACUGAGGCGCGAAAGCGUGGGGAGCAAACAGGAUUAGAUACCCUGGUAGUCCACGCCGUAAACGAUGAGUGCUAAGUGUUAGAGGGUUUCCGCCCUUUAGUGCUGCAGCUAACGCAUUAAGCACUCCGCCUGGGGAGUACGGCCGCAAGGCUGAAACUCAAAGGAAUGACGGGGGCCCGCACAAGCUGUGGAGCAUGUGGUUUAAUUCGAAGCACGCGAAAACUUUACAAGGUCUUGACAUCCUCUGAACAACCUAGAGAUAGGGCUUUCCCUUCGGGGACAGAGUGCCAGUUGCUGCAAUGGUGGUCGUCACUCGUGGUCGGAGAAAUGUUGGGGGUAAGUCCCGCAAACAAGCGCAACCCUUGUAUCCUAGAUGGCCAGCAAUUCAGUUGGGCACUCUAAGGGUGAUUGCCUGGUGAAACCGGAAAAGGGGGGAUGACGUCCAAUCUCUACAUGGCCCUUAUGACCUGGUCUUACACCGUUGCCCACAUGAAGGUACAACGGCCUUGCAAACCUGCAAGGGUAAAGCGAAACUUCAAUAAAGAACCACUACUCUCA
This 1268-nucleotide ribosomal RNA is filed under the name Bacillus sp. (in: firmicutes). Its description in RNAcentral is "bacterial SSU rRNA". It matches the Rfam family "Bacterial small subunit ribosomal RNA", at positions 42 to 1295 of the family's 1533-position model. Lineage: Bacteria; Bacillati; Bacillota; Bacilli; Caryophanales; Bacillaceae. The record is from RNAcentral.